UACGGAGGGGGCUAGCGUUGUUCGGAAUUACUGGGCGUAAAGCGCACGUAGGCGGCUGUUCAAGUCAGAGGUGAAAGCCCGGGGCUCAACCCCGGAACUGCCUUUGAAACUAGACAGCUUGAAUCAUGGAGAGGCGGGUGGAAUUCCGAGUGUAGAGGUGAAAUUCGUAGAUAUUCGGAAGAACACCAGUGGCGAAGGCGGCCCGCUGGACAUGUAUUGACGCUGAGGUGCGAAAGCGUGGGGAGCAAACAGG
This 253-nucleotide ribosomal RNA is filed under the name uncultured bacterium. RNAcentral's name for it is "partial 16S ribosomal RNA". It matches the Rfam family "Bacterial small subunit ribosomal RNA", at positions 524 to 776 of the family's 1533-position model. The record is from RNAcentral.